This 57-nucleotide transfer RNA is filed under the name Ixodes scapularis (black-legged tick). It matches the Rfam family "tRNA", at positions 9 to 63 of the family's 71-position model. Rfam says of the family: Transfer RNA (tRNA) molecules are approximately 80 nucleotides in length. Their secondary structure includes four short double-helical elements and three loops (D, anti-codon, and T loops). The record is from Rfam by way of RNAcentral. Lineage: Eukaryota; Metazoa; Arthropoda; Arachnida; Ixodida; Ixodidae.
GUCUCAGUUGGUAGAGCGCUCCACUUGUAAUGGAGAGGUCCCGGGUUCGAUACCCGG